UUGAAAGGGAAACGAUUGAAGUCAGUCAUGCCGACGGGAAUCAACUUAGGGGAAACUCUGGGUGCACUUCUUCGUUUGGCAGGUUAGUGUCGAUUUUGGAUGUCAUAAAAUAAUUGGGAGAAGGUAGCUCUUUCGGGAGUGUUAUAGCCCCUGGUAGAUGUGAUAUCUGGGAUCGAGGAUUGCAACGGAUACCUUCGGGGCUAACCGCCUGAUCUCUAAUUGGUGUUGGGUUACGGACAGCAUGCUGACCGUGAUCAAUUACUGGUUAAAAGGUUAGAGCGUGUAUAAAUCGUUAAGGAUGUUGACGUA
RNAcentral lists this ribosomal RNA (309 nucleotides) under uncultured Glomeromycotina. Its description in RNAcentral is "LSU rRNA". The record is from RNAcentral. Lineage: Eukaryota; Fungi; Glomeromycota.